RNAcentral lists this ribosomal RNA (254 nucleotides) under uncultured bacterium. RNAcentral's name for it is "partial 16S ribosomal RNA". It matches the Rfam family "Bacterial small subunit ribosomal RNA", at positions 524 to 776 of the family's 1533-position model. The record is from RNAcentral.
UACGUAGGGUGCAAGCGUUGUCCGGAAUUAUUGGGCGUAAAGAGCUCGUAGGCGGUUUGUCGCGUCUGCUGUGAAAACCUAGGGCUUAACCCUGGGCCUGCAGUGGGUACGGGCAGACUAGAGUGCGGUAGGGGAGACUGGAAUUCCUGGUGUAGCGGUGAAAUGCGCAGAGUAUCAGGAGGAACACCGGUGGCGAAGGCGGGUCUCUGGGCCGUAACUGACGCUGAGGAGCGAAAGCAUGGGGAGCGAACAGG